GAUGAACGCUGGCGGCGUGCCUAAUACAUGCAAGUCGAGCGAACGGACGGGAAGCUUGCUUCUCUGAUGUUAGCGGCGGACGGGUGAGUAGCACGUGGAUAACCUACCUAUAAGACUGGGAUAACUUCGGGAAACCGGAGCUAAUACCGGAUAAUAUUUUGAACCGCAUGGUUCAAAAGUGAAAGACGGUCUUGCUGUCACUUAUAGAUGGAUCCGCGCUGCAUUAGCUAGUUGGUAAGGUAACGGCUUACCAAGGCAACGAUGCAUAGCCGACCUGAGAGGGUGAUCGGCCACACUGGAACUGAGACACGGUCCAGACUCCUACGGGAGGCAGCAGUAGGGAAUCUUCCGCAAUGGGCGGAAGCCUGACGGAGCAACGCCGCGUGAGUGAUGAAGGUCUUCGGAUCGUAAAACUCUGUUAUUAGGGAAGAACAUAUGUGUAAGUAACUGUGCACAUCUUGACGGUACCUAAUCAGAAAGCCACGGCUAACUACGUG
RNAcentral lists this ribosomal RNA (497 nucleotides) under uncultured bacterium. RNAcentral describes it as "partial 16S ribosomal RNA". It matches the Rfam family "Bacterial small subunit ribosomal RNA", at positions 28 to 507 of the family's 1533-position model. The record is from RNAcentral.